UGUUUUUUUUUUUGUGUGUUAGUUUAAGAAGUUAAGAGGGCAAAAAGCUAGUAGUUAGGUGUUGGAAAUGUUAUAAAAAAUAUAUAUAGUUUUUUUGGCUAAAUUACAAAAAAAUUUCUUAUAAAUACCCAACUUUUCACAUUUCUGUUCUAAUUUUUAAAAACCAACAUUUUACCACUUUAACAUUUCAAGUUGUUACCGACCGUCCCUAGAGCAAGUGGCAAAGGGCUCGGUGGUUGGUACCCGAGACCCAAGUUCGAAUCCUAGUUGAUUCACAUUUCUAGCUAAGUUUAUUUCUAAAUGAAAUAGACGAAGCGGGUAGCGUGCUACCUGUCUCUCAAAAAAAAAAAAAAAAUUCAAGUUGUUGUAUUUAACCUCCCUUCGUCGGAGUUUCAUCACUACUCCGUCAAUUUCUUAUAAUUUAUAACUAAAAUGCCCUUUAAAAUUAUAGAAAUAUAUUAAAAAUUAUUUUUUUAUAAAAGAAGUAAAGGUAAUUUGGUCAUUUUGCUUUCUCCAUUAACGCCGUACCCCUUAAAAAUAUUUCUAAAAUUUUAAGGGGGCAAAAUAUCGGUUUUCAAUAGUCGGGGUGAAAAUAUAAUUUUUAUGGGAAGAUUUUCUAUAAUUUAGUCCUUUUUUUUUGUUAGAU
Molecule: long non-coding RNA, 646 nt
Filed under: Ananas comosus (pineapple)
Lineage: Eukaryota; Viridiplantae; Streptophyta; Magnoliopsida; Poales; Bromeliaceae
Description: long non-coding RNA (ACOM_LNC037497)
Source: RNAcentral